RNAcentral lists this ribosomal RNA (484 nucleotides) under uncultured bacterium. RNAcentral's name for it is "partial 16S ribosomal RNA". It matches the Rfam family "Bacterial small subunit ribosomal RNA", at positions 30 to 507 of the family's 1533-position model. The record is from RNAcentral.
AUUGAACGCUGGCGGCAGGCCUAACACAUGCAAGUCGAGCGGAUGAAGGGAGCUUGCUCCUGGAUUCAGCGGCGGACGGGUGAGUAAUGCCUAGGAAUCUGCCUGGUAGUGGGGGAUAACGUCCGGAAACGGGCGCUAAUACCGCAUACGUCCUGAGGGAGAAAGUGGGGGAUCUUCGGACCUCACGCUAUCAGAUGAGCCUAGGUCGGAUUAGCUAGUUGGUGGGGUAAAGGCCUACCAAGGCGACGAUCCGUAACUGGUCUGAGAGGAUGAUCAGUCACACUGGAACUGAGACACGGUCCAGACUACUACGGGAGGCAGCAGUGGGGAAUAUUGGACAAUGGGCGAAAGCCUGAUCCAGCCAUGCCGCAUGUGUGAAGAAGGUCUUCGGAUUGUAAAGCACUUUAAGUUGGGAGGAAGGGCAGUAAGUUAAUACCUUGCUGUUUUGACGGUACCAACAGAAUAAGCACCGGCUAACUUCGUG